RNAcentral lists this unclassified non-coding RNA (375 nucleotides) under soil metagenome. Its description in RNAcentral is "partial contains 5.8S ribosomal RNA, internal transcribed spacer 2, and large subunit ribosomal RNA". The stretch from base 1 to 120 matches the Rfam family "5.8S ribosomal RNA", at positions 35 to 154 of the family's 154-position model. The record is from RNAcentral.
GAUGAAGAACGUAGCGAAAUGCGAUAAGUAAUGUGAAUUGCAGAAUUCAGUGAAUCAUCGAAUCUUUGAACGCACAUUGCGCCCGCCAGUAUUCUGGCGGGCAUGCCUGUUCGAGCGUCAUUUCAACCCUCAAGACCCCUUCGGGGGACUUGGUGUUGGGGACCGGCACAGGGGCCUGCCUGCUUGUCUUGCAGCGCCCUCGCCGCCCCCGAAAUGAAUUGGCGGCCUCGUCGCGACCUCCCCUGCGUAGUAGCACAACCUCGCAACGGGAACGUGACGGCGGCCACUGCCGUAAAACAACCCCAAUUUUAUUAGAGUUGACCUCGAAUCAGGUAGGAAUACCCGCUGAACUUAAGCAUAUCAAUAAGCGGAGGA